GAGAACUCAUUUGCUCACUGUUUGUGACCAAGUCAACACUCACAGGACUCCUGUGGUCAUCUGUGGAUGUGCACAGAGGGGCAAAAGUGUGGUUUUCUGACGUGUUUGUUCCCAACGGAGGCGGAACAAGUUGAUGCUCUGCCUUCUUGUGUCAGCUUUCCCGCUGUAAACACGUGCCCUUUCCGCGGUCUCUUUAGUGCAUGUUCUUCAUACUUUCGUGUGUUUUGCUGGUGAUUCAUCACGUAAAACCGUCACCAAGGGUGGUGCUGAAGAACCCCAUUCAGGCAUGCGGUACAUUGAGCACAUCAGCAGUAGUGUGAGAUGCGGUGUCCUCAGGCGGAAACGCACACGAGGUGAGGUGAGGUAUUGGCUGACAGAUUAAAGCAUUGGGACUAGAGGAGUCUAAUCCUGUGUCUCCUUAGAAGCAAAGUGCAGCAUUCACCAACUCAGUGCUGUGCGACUCUGUAGAGCCUAAUGCCGCCAAUGGCAGAGAACCCAUCCCGGUACGUGGAUGCCGGACCCGCCGACGUCAGAGAACCCCUCCGGGUACGGGGGUGUCAGACCCGCCAAGGGGCUUUGAAACUCCUGUCCUCUCGUCCAGCGCCUCGGGCCCUCGGCAGGGUGUCCCGGUGCUCAAGAUUGGUCCUGAGUGGCGUUGUAACACCCUCGCAAAGCACAUUUGCUCAGGCAGCUGAACUCGAAAUAGAAAGCGAACGGAGGCCUAUGGGGCACCUUUCCUGGAUCCCUCCUCCGCGUUUGCAAUUUUCUCCGGUUUCUCAGUGACGACGAAGCCACACAGACACGGGUCUCAGGCACGCGGCGGGCUCUGUGACGAGGAGCCAGGCCUCCGCGCCCCCCAGACACCCGGCCCGGGCUUCGCACGCGAGUCAGGCAAGUAGACUCGUGUACCUAGGCCGCAGAAGUCUCCAGCGGCACGUGGGCACGUCAGUGUCGAACAAAGACGUUGCCGUCUCCCGGUCUGACAUGCACUUCACUUACCG
Molecule: long non-coding RNA, 1001 nt
Filed under: Felis catus (domestic cat)
Lineage: Eukaryota; Metazoa; Chordata; Mammalia; Carnivora; Felidae
Description: lncRNA (ENSFCAG00000043002.2)
Source: RNAcentral